This 254-nucleotide ribosomal RNA is filed under the name uncultured bacterium. Its description in RNAcentral is "partial 16S ribosomal RNA". It matches the Rfam family "Bacterial small subunit ribosomal RNA", at positions 524 to 776 of the family's 1533-position model. The record is from RNAcentral.
UACAGAGGGUGCGAGCGUUGUUCGGAAUUACUGGGCGUAAAGGGCGCGUAGGCGGUCAGCACAAGUCAGUUGUGAAAUCUCCGGGCUUAACCCGGAAAGGUCAACUGAUACUGUGCGACUAGAGUGCGGAAGGGGCAACUGGAAUUCUCGGUGUAGCGGUGAAAUGCGUAGAUAUCGAGAGGAACACCUGCGGCGAAGGCGGGUUGCUGGGCCGACACUGACGCUGAUGCGCGAAAGCCAGGGGAGCGAACGGG